RNAcentral lists this long non-coding RNA (205 nucleotides) under Lathyrus oleraceus (garden pea). RNAcentral describes it as "Pisum sativum (pea) long non-coding RNA (PSAT_LNC001403)". The record is from RNAcentral. Lineage: Eukaryota; Viridiplantae; Streptophyta; Magnoliopsida; Fabales; Fabaceae.
UAAAGAAGAGAGGAUAGUUUUUAUGUAAUGAGAUAUUAGAUUAGAACUAGAAUUCGUUAGAAAAAGCAAAUAUUAGACAGUAAAUACCCCAAAAAAAUUAUUUAAACGGAUCAAAACAAAGGGCGAAAAUGUAUUAACCAAAAUAUAUUGUUUUUUUAUAUGGUUGAUUUGGAUGAGAAGAUUAUUUUUUUUUCCUUUUUUUAAC